RNAcentral lists this ribosomal RNA (275 nucleotides) under uncultured prokaryote. Its description in RNAcentral is "partial 16S ribosomal RNA". It matches the Rfam family "Bacterial small subunit ribosomal RNA", at positions 524 to 798 of the family's 1533-position model. The record is from RNAcentral.
UACGGAGGAUCCGAGCGUUAUCCGGAUUUAUUGGGUUUAAAGGGUGCGCAGGCGGGAGAUUAAGUCGGCGGUGAAAUUUUGCAGCUCAACUGUAAAAGUGCCUUCGAAACUGGUUUCCUUGAGUGUAGAUGAAGUAGGCGGAAUUUGUAGUGUAGCGGUGAAAUGCAUAGAUAUUACAAUGAACUCCGAUUGCGAAGGCAGCUUACUAGGCCAUAACUGACGCUCAGGCACGAAGGCGUGGGGAUCAAACAGGAUUAGAUACCCGGGUAGUCCCU